UACGUAGGUGGCAAGCGUUGUCCGGAUUUAUUGGGUUUAAAGGGUGCGUAGGUGGCCCCGUAAGUCAGUGGUGAAAUCUCUCAGCUUAACUGAGAGGGUGCCAUUGAUACUGCGGGGCUUGAGUACAGAUGAGGUAGGCGGAAUUGACGGUGUAGCGGUGAAAUGCAUAGAUAUCGUCAAGAACACCGAUAGCGAAGGCAGCUUACCAAGCUGUAACUGACACUGAGGCACGAAAGUGUGGGGAUCAAACAGG
RNAcentral lists this ribosomal RNA (253 nucleotides) under uncultured bacterium. Its description in RNAcentral is "partial 16S ribosomal RNA". It matches the Rfam family "Bacterial small subunit ribosomal RNA", at positions 524 to 776 of the family's 1533-position model. The record is from RNAcentral.